Molecule: ribosomal RNA, 874 nt
Filed under: uncultured archaeon
Lineage: Archaea
Description: bacterial SSU rRNA
Rfam family: Archaeal small subunit ribosomal RNA
Source: RNAcentral
ACUAAGCCAUGCGAGUCAUUGUAGCAAUACAAGGCAUACGGCUCAGUAACGCGUAGUCAACCUACCCUAUGGACGGAAAUAACCUCGGGAAACUGAGAAUAAUAUCCGAUAGAACAUUAUGCCUGGAAUGGUUUAUGUUCCAAAUGAUUUAUCGCCGUAGGAUGGGACUGCGGUCUAUCAGUUUGUUGGUGAGGUAAUGGCCCACCAAGACUAUUACAGGUACGGGCUCUGAGAGGAGUAGCCCGGAGAUGGGUACUGAGACACGGACCCAGGCCCUAUGGGGCGCAGCAGGCGAGAAAACUUUGCAAUGUGCGAAAGCACGACAAGGUUAAUCCGAGUGAUUUCUGCUAAAGAAAUCUUUUGUUAGUCCUAGAAACACUAACGAAUAAGGGGUGGGCAAGUUCUGGUGUCAGCCGCCGCGGUAAAACCAGCACCUCAAGUGGUCAGGAUGAUUAUUGGGCCUAAAGCAUCCGUAGCCGGCUCUGAAGUCCUCGGUUAAAUCUGUACGCUUAACGUACAGGCUGCCGGGAAUACUGCAUAGCUAGGGAGUGGGAGAGGUAGACGGUACUCGGUAGGAAGGGGUAAAAUCCUUUGAUCUAUUGAUGACCACCUGUGGCGAAGGCGGUCUACCAGAACACGUCCGACGGUGAGGGAUGAAAGCUGGGGGAGCAAACCGGAUUAGAUACCCGGGUAGUCCCAGCUGUAAACUAUGCAAACUCAGUGAUGCAUUGGCUUGUGGCCAAUGCAGUGCUGCAGGGAAGCCGUUAAGUUUGCCGCCUGGGAAGUACGUACGCAAGUAUGAAACUUAAAGGAAUUGGCGGGGGAGCACCACAAGGGGUGAAGCCUGCGGUUCAAUUGGAUUCAACGCCGGGAA